RNAcentral lists this non-coding RNA (192 nucleotides) under Clostridium sp. The record is from RNAcentral. Lineage: Bacteria; Bacillati; Bacillota; Clostridia; Eubacteriales; Clostridiaceae.
AGUAAGCUGUCCCGAUGCAGUAUCCGAAUCUGCUGAGGGCGGCCUAAGGGGAAGCAGGUGUGAAUCCUGCACAAUACCCGUUGCUGUAUAGGUGGAAUGGUAUCCAUUAUGUCACUGUGAGAGUUCUCAUGGGAAGGCGGAAUACCGUGCAGAUGCCUUAGUCAGAAAACCCGCUUUUAAAUGGAUCUGAAU